This 497-nucleotide ribosomal RNA is filed under the name uncultured bacterium. RNAcentral describes it as "partial 16S ribosomal RNA". It matches the Rfam family "Bacterial small subunit ribosomal RNA", at positions 28 to 507 of the family's 1533-position model. The record is from RNAcentral.
GAUGAACGCUGGCGGCGGGCCUAAUACAUGCAAGUCGAGCGAACAGACGAGGAGCUUGCGCCUCUGACGGUAGCGGCGGACGUGUGAGUAACACGUGGCAAACCGACCUAUAAGACUGGGAUCACUUCGGGAAACCGGUUCUAAUACCGGAUAAUAUAUUAAACCUCAAGGUUCAUUAGUGAAAGACGGUUUGUCGGUCUCUUAUAGAGGGAUGUGCGUCGCUUUAGCAAGUUGGUAAGGUAACGCCUUACUAAGGGGACGAUGAGUAGCCGCCCCGAGGGGGUGAUCGUCCACAGUGGAACUGAGACGAGGUCCAGACUCCUGAGGGAGGCAGCAGUAGGGAACUUUCCGCAAUGAGCGGAAGGCUGACGGAGAAAAGGCGCGUGAGUGAUGAAGGUCUUCGGCUCGUAAAACUAUGUUAUUAGGGAAGAACAAAUGUGUAAGUAACUAUGCACGUUUUGACGGUACCUAAUAAGAUAGCCACGGCUAACUACGUG